UGACCUCGGAUCAGGUAGGACUACCCGCUGAACUUAAGCAUAUCAUNA
RNAcentral lists this ribosomal RNA (48 nucleotides) under Ceratocystiopsis minima. RNAcentral's name for it is "partial 28S large subunit ribosomal RNA". Lineage: Eukaryota; Fungi; Ascomycota; Sordariomycetes; Ophiostomatales; Ophiostomataceae. The record is from RNAcentral.